This 1526-nucleotide long non-coding RNA is filed under the name Lupinus mutabilis. RNAcentral's name for it is "partial ncRNA". Lineage: Eukaryota; Viridiplantae; Streptophyta; Magnoliopsida; Fabales; Fabaceae. The record is from RNAcentral.
AAAAAAUUGAGUGAAUCGACACAACGAGAGAGAGAGACAUAGGAAGAAAUGAAUGAAUUGGUCGUUGACGGAAACAUGACUUCCGAAACGGCGUCGUCGAGCUCGCAAACUAGCUCUUCCGAAUCGCUUCAACAUUCUCAGGUUCCCAUAUUUUCCAAUUCUAUAGCACCAUUUCCACCUGCGUAUUAUUAUCAAAUGUUUCCCGCUGCUAUGUAUCCGUAUCCAGGUUUAAACCACGAAUCGGAAAACCGAGGUGGUGCUGGAAUAUAUGCUGUUUCUACUUACCCCUAUAAUUGUCAUGUUGCUGGAAUUCCAUACAACACUCUUAUUCCACUCACCUAUACCACGCCCACGUAAGUUCGUUCUUAUUCCGUCUUUUAAUUCGUAUUUUGCUGUCUAUGAAGCUUAGUUAGUUAUUACUUAUCAUGCGGUUUAAUGAAGUUUCUACUUAUUAAAACAUAUGGCCACAUUUAUACCUUUACUUACUUUGUUUCCUUUAAAGUAUAAAUCCUUUUUUCGUGUUUUCUUAAUUCUACGUGUAUGCUUUCAACUCGCAAGUUGCCUAGUACGAGUUAACAUAUAUUCAAUUGUGUUACGGUUAUCUCUACUAGGAAAGUUGUCUGGUUACUGCAGCAUAUCGAAAAGUGGCAUUGACUUUACUAGUAGUCUAGAACAACUAUGCUUGACUCUAAAUGAAUCAAAACAAGAAAUAAAGAUCUCUACUCAAGCACAAUGGAAAACUAUCUUUGCUCAAUAACUUUAUUUUACAACUAAUGAUGUGUGAAUGGAAGCUGGAGUAUUUACUAAGGGAUGUGUGUUACAGACACCGAACUUCGGCUUCUGCCCUUAACCAUGCAUUUUACCUUACUCUUCACUUGAGAAGGAAAGGCUAAGAUCUCUACUCAAGGGAAGGGGGAACGGUCAAAAUUUAAAAGACAGUCGGAUCUGGUAAUACUAAGAUCAACUGGGAAGAACUAACAACAUAUAACUCUUAACAAAUGACUGGUUUAUACUUUAUACAUUUUGUCUCAUCAGUUUCUAAAAAUACUGUUGAUUGAAAAUUAAGAUUAGUUCUUAGAUUGUACCACAUAUUAACUUGUAUCUGUGCAACAUAAAAUGCAUGUUCUAUUUUAGGCUUCCCUUCCCAAUGAAAAGCAUGGUUUAUCUUUUUAUGACAACAAACAUUCUUUAUCAAAAAUUUCAUGUCCAUUACAAUUUUUUAAUACUUAUAUCUGUAGGCCGAUCAUGUUGGUACUAUACAUUCGAAUUGUCGGCGUGCUUUCAUAAUUCUCAGUAGUUUAUGUGAUUAACAUUAUAUUUUCCUUUUACUCCUGUUUGGUUCAUUGCUUGACUGCUUGUUCAAAUCAUAAGUAAAACUGAAUUUAAGGAAAAAAUUAGAAAGCAAAUUUUAAGCAAUGAUCGGUGAAAAUGCUACUAUGUUUUUUGUGUGGAUAUUUUGAUUUAUGUCAAUGACUUCUUUAACUGAAUGAGCAUCAUUAACAGUAGGCCAAGUUCAGAUGGUGCUA